Molecule: ribosomal RNA, 510 nt
Filed under: uncultured bacterium
Lineage: Bacteria
Description: bacterial SSU rRNA
Rfam family: Bacterial small subunit ribosomal RNA
Source: RNAcentral
GACGAACGCUGGCGGUGUGCUUAACACAUGCAAGUGGUGCGACGAACCAGAGCUUGCUCUGGGGCAAAGCCGCGAACGGGUGAGUAACACGUGGGUAAUCUACCCCGAUGACCGGGACAACCCGAGGAAACUCGGGCUAAUACCGGAUGUGGUACGGAGACAUAAGUCUCUUUACUAAAGGUAGCUUCGGCUUCCGCAUUGGGAGGGGCCCGCGGCCCAUUAGCUAGUUGGUGGGGUCAAGGCCUACCAAGGCAACGAUGGGUAGCUGGUCUGAGAGGACGAUCAGCCACACUGGGACUGAGACACGGCCCAGACUCCUACGGGAGGCAGCAGUGGGGAAUCUUGCGCAAUGCGCGAAAGCGUGACGCAGCAACACCGCGUGAGGGAAGACGGCCUUAGGGUUGUAAACCUCUUUCAGAUGGGACGAAGGUGAUGCGGUGAAUAGCCGAUGUCAUUGACGGUACCGUCAGAAGAAGCUCCGGCUAACUACGUGCCAGCAGCCGCGGUAAU